UAUGAUACAUCAGUUUUCAUCAAACAAUAUAUUGAUAGACACCCAGAUAUCUUGUCAAAAAAUGAAGAUAUACAUGCAUACAAUACAAGGCAAAAAUCUGACCUUCAUAUAAAACAGAAUAGAAGAAUCUGUCAGGAAGAAACAUUUUUAGUUUGUUUUCAAAUUUUACAUUGCUGCCUGCCAAACAUUUUACAUCACUGGAUGACUAUUAACAGAAGAGAACAUGCAAAUCAAUAAUGACUGAAAACCUUAACUACUGAAGACUUAACAAUGGCCGGCUGGAGUGGCCGUGCGGUUCUAGGCACUACAGUCUGGAGCCGAGCGACCGCUACGGUCGCAGGUUCGAAUCCUGCCUCGAGCAUGGAUGUGUGUGAUGU
Schistocerca cancellata (South American locust) is the source of this 377-nucleotide long non-coding RNA. RefSeq lists it as uncharacterized. The transcript is spliced from 3 exons. NCBI's taxonomy places the organism in Eukaryota, Metazoa, Arthropoda, Insecta, Orthoptera, Acrididae. The record is from RefSeq and is a predicted model, not a curated record.